CCGGCCUUAGCUCAGGUGGUAGAGCAUGUGACUGUAAAUCACGAGGUCGCUGGUUCAAAUCCGGCAGGCCGGA
Coccomyxa sp. Obi is the source of this 73-nucleotide non-coding RNA. The record is from the annotation of a GenBank genome assembly. NCBI's taxonomy places the organism in Eukaryota, Viridiplantae, Chlorophyta, Trebouxiophyceae, Coccomyxaceae.